GGAUGUGAGGGCGAUCUGGCUGCGACAUCUGUCACCCCAUUGAUCGCCAGGGUUGAUUCGGCUGAUCUGGCUGGCUAGGCGGGUGUCCCCUUCCUCCCUCACCGCUCCAUGUGCGUCCCUCCCGAAGCUGCGCGCUCGGUCGAAGAGGACGACCACCCCCGAUAGAGGAGGACCGGUCUUCGGUCAAGGGUAUACGAGUAGCUGCGCUCCCCUGCUAGAACCUCCAAACAAGCUCUCAAGGUCCAUUUGUAGGAGAACGUAGGGUAGUCAAGCUUCCAAGACUCCAGACACAUCCAAAUGAGGCGCUGCAUGUGGCAGUCUGCCUUUCUUU
Molecule: unclassified non-coding RNA, 331 nt
Organism: Gorilla gorilla gorilla (western lowland gorilla)
Lineage: Eukaryota; Metazoa; Chordata; Mammalia; Primates; Hominidae
Gene: 7SK
Rfam family: 7SK RNA
About the family: 7SK was discovered as an abundant small nuclear RNA in the mid-70s but a possible function has only recently been suggested.
Source: Ensembl